AUGCUUGACCUCAAAUCAGGUAGGACUACCCGCUGAACUUAAGCAUAUCAAUAAGCGGAGGAAAAGAAACUAACAAGGAUUCCCCUAGUAACUGCGAGUGAAGCGGGAAAAGCUCAAAUUUAAAAUCUGGCGGUCUCUGGCCGUCCGAGUUGUAAUCUAGAGAAGUAAUGCCCGUGCUGGACCGUGUAUAAGUCUCCUGGGAUGGGGCGUCAUAGAGGGUGAGAAUCCCGUCUUUGACACGGACUACCAGUGCAUUGUGGUAUGCUCUCAAAGAGUCGAGUUGUUUGGGAAUGCAGCUCAAAAUGGGUGGUAAAUUCCAUCUAAAGCUAAAUAUUGGCGAGAGACCGAUAGCGAACAAGUACCGUGAGGGAAAGAUGAAAAGAACUUUGGAAAGAGAGUUAAACAGUACGUGAAAUUGCUGAAAGGGAAACGCUUGAAGUCAGUCGCGUUGGCCGGGGAUCAGCCUUGCUUUUGCAUGGUGUACUUUCUGGUUGACGGGUCAGCAUCAAUUUUGACCGCUGGAAAAAGACCUGGGGAAUGUGGCAGCUUCGGCUGUGUUAUAGCCCCUAGUCGCAUACAGUGGUUGGGAUUGAGGAACUCAGCACGCCGCAAGGCCGGGUUUCGACCACGUUCGUGCUUAGGAUG
This 645-nucleotide ribosomal RNA is filed under the name Agaricus sp. GAL15446. RNAcentral describes it as "eukaryotic LSU rRNA". It matches the Rfam family "Eukaryotic large subunit ribosomal RNA", at positions 1 to 625 of the family's 3401-position model. Lineage: Eukaryota; Fungi; Basidiomycota; Agaricomycetes; Agaricales; Agaricaceae. The record is from RNAcentral.